UGGACCCCAGUAUCUGGUCAGAGAGUAGCAACGGUGAGGUGGGAGAACAGUGUGGGGUCCUGAUGCACGGCAGAGCUGUCACCUUCUGUGAACCCUUCGGAGAGAGAGAGCUGAUCAGCGUUCCUCUCAACACCACAACAGCCUCCGUCCUGCAGUUUGCUCUCGGUGAGUACCAUUUACAACUUACUUAUCCCUCCUUGUCUUGGGCAAAUAUGGGACAUGUCAUACCACACAUCAUGCUGGCUAGAGUUAUGUACUGAUGGUUUAAAGGAGACCCUGAAACAACAAAGAGCUCUUAAUUAGCAUGUUGUCAUAUUUACAUUUAGACAUUCUCACAAA
Molecule: non-coding RNA, 339 nt
Organism: Salvelinus sp. IW2-2015
Lineage: Eukaryota; Metazoa; Chordata; Actinopteri; Salmoniformes; Salmonidae
Source: RefSeq, a predicted model, not a curated record